This 424-nucleotide ribosomal RNA is filed under the name Verrucomicrobiota bacterium. RNAcentral describes it as "Verrucomicrobia bacterium partial 16S ribosomal RNA". It matches the Rfam family "Bacterial small subunit ribosomal RNA", at positions 355 to 776 of the family's 1533-position model. Lineage: Bacteria; Pseudomonadati; Verrucomicrobiota. The record is from RNAcentral.
UGAGGAAUAUUGGUCAAUGGGCGAGAGCCUGAACCAGCCAAGUAGCGUGCAGGAUGACGGCCCUAUGGGUUGUAAACUGCUUUUAUAUGGGAAUAAAGUGAGGGACGUGUCCCUUAUUGCAUGUACCAUAUGAAUAAGGACCGGCUAAUUCCGUGCCAGCAGCCGCGGUAAUACGGAAGGUCCAGGCGUUAACCGGAUUUAUUGGGUUUAAAGGGAGCGUAGGCUGUUUGUUAAGCGUGUUGUGAAAUGUAAGAGCUCAACUUUUAGAUUGCAGCGCGAACUGGCAGACUUGAGUGCGCACAACGUAGGCGGAAUUCAUGGUGUAGCGGUGAAAUGCUUAGAUAUCAUGACGAACUCCGAUUGCGAAGGCAGCUUACGGGAGCGCAACUGACGCUAAAGCUCGAAGGUGCGGGUAUCGAACAGG